AUACGUAGGGUGCGAGCGUUGUCCGGAAUUACUGGGCGUAAAGAGCUCGUAGGUGGUUUGUCGCGUCGUCUGUGAAAUUCCGGGGCUUAACUCCGGGCGUGCAGGCGAUACGGGCAUAACUUGAGUACUGUAGGGGAGACUGGAAUUCCUGGUGUAGCGGUGAAAUGCGCAGAUAUCAGGAGGAACACCGGUGGUGAAGGCGGGUCGCUGGGCAGUAACUGACGUUGAGGAGCGAAAGCAUGGGUAGCGAACAGGAUUAGAUUCCCUGGUAGUCCAUGCCGUAAACGGUGGGCGCUAGGUGUAGGGGUCUUCCACGACUUCUGUGCCGUAGCUAACGCAUUAAGCGCCCCGCCUGGGGAGUACGGCCGCAAGGCUAAAACUUAAAUGAAUUGGCGGGG
Molecule: ribosomal RNA, 398 nt
Filed under: uncultured bacterium
Lineage: Bacteria
Description: partial 16S ribosomal RNA
Rfam family: Bacterial small subunit ribosomal RNA
Source: RNAcentral